Molecule: non-coding RNA, 389 nt
Organism: Anguilla anguilla (European eel)
Lineage: Eukaryota; Metazoa; Chordata; Actinopteri; Anguilliformes; Anguillidae
Source: the annotation of a RefSeq genome assembly
CUUUCACAGACACUGACACAGGGAGCAGUAUGGCGAUGUCAAACUAUCUACUGCUGGUGAUGCUGGGACUCCUUAUACAGGAAUCAAUGGCAGAUAUAAUUCUGACUCAGUCUCCAUCAGCUCAGUCUGUUCAGCUGGGAGACACUGUUUCUAUCAGCUGUACAACCAGUCAGAGUGUGGGCAGCUGGCUCAGCUGGUACCUGCAGAAACCUGGUCAGGCUCCUAAACUUCUGAUUUAUGCUGCCACAAAUCGCCAGUCUGGGAUUCCUGAUCGUUUCAGUGGGAGUGGAUCUGGGACUCAGUUUACACUGAAAAUCGCUGGAGUCCAGGCUGAAGAUGCAGGAGAUUAUUACUGUCAGCAGUACAACAGCUACCCGCUCACACAGUGA